UACGUAGGGGGCAAGCGUUGUCCGGAUUUAUUGGGCGUAAAGAGCGUGUAGGCGGCCAGGUAGGUCUGCUGUGAAAACUCGAGGCUUAACCUCGAGCUGUCGGCGGAAACCAUCUGGCUAGAGUCCGGAAGAGGAGAAUGGAAUUCCCGGUGUAGCGGUGAAAUGCGCAGAUAUCGGGAAGAACACCCGUGGCGAAGGCGGUCUCUGGGACGGUACUGACGCUGAGACGCGAAAGCGUGGGGAGCGAACAGGAUUAGAUACCGAGU
RNAcentral lists this ribosomal RNA (266 nucleotides) under uncultured bacterium. RNAcentral's name for it is "partial 16S ribosomal RNA". It matches the Rfam family "Bacterial small subunit ribosomal RNA", at positions 524 to 790 of the family's 1533-position model. The record is from RNAcentral.